Non-coding RNA from Acanthosepion pharaonis, 109 nucleotides. The record is from the annotation of a GenBank genome assembly. NCBI's taxonomy places the organism in Eukaryota, Metazoa, Mollusca, Cephalopoda, Sepiida, Sepiidae.
UGACUAUAUCAGGUUGAAACACCAGUUCUCAUAUGAUCACUGUAGUUAAGCAAUAUCAAGCCUGGUCAGUACCUAGAUGGGUAACCACUUGGGAAUACCAAGUUCUGUA